AACGAACGCUGGCGGCAUGCCUAACACAUGCAAGUCGAGCGAGACCUUCGGGUCUAGUGGCGCACGGGUGCGUAACACGUGGGAACCUGCCCUUAGGUUCGGAAUAACUCCCCGAAAGGGGUGCUAAUACCGGAUAAUGUCUUCGGACCAAAGAUUUAUCGCCUUUGGAUGGGCCCGCGUUGGAUUAGCUAGUUGGUAGGGUAAAAGCCUACCAAGGCGACGAUCCAUAGCUGGUCUGAGAGGAUGAUCAGCCACACUGGGACUGAGACACGGCCCAGACUCCUACGGGAGGCAGCAGUGGGGAAUAUUGGACAAUGGGCGAAAGCCUGAUCCAGCAAUGCCGCGUGAGUGAUGAAGGCCUUAGGGUUGUAAAGCUCUUUUACCCGGGAUGAUAAUGACAGUACCGGGAGAAUAAGCUCCGGCUAACUCCGUG
Molecule: ribosomal RNA, 433 nt
Filed under: uncultured bacterium
Lineage: Bacteria
Description: partial 16S ribosomal RNA
Rfam family: Bacterial small subunit ribosomal RNA
Source: RNAcentral